This 254-nucleotide ribosomal RNA is filed under the name uncultured bacterium. Its description in RNAcentral is "partial 16S ribosomal RNA". It matches the Rfam family "Bacterial small subunit ribosomal RNA", at positions 524 to 776 of the family's 1533-position model. The record is from RNAcentral.
UACAGAGGAGCCAAGCGUUGUCCGGAUUGACUGGGCGUAAAGCGCACGCAGGCGGACGCGCGCGUGGGGUGUGAAAUCUGGCCGCUUAACGGCCAGGCGCCAUCCCAUACGGCGCGUCUGGAGUGAUGCAGAGGUCGGUGGAAUUGCCGGUGUAGUGGUGAAAUGCGUAGAGAUCGGCAGGAACACCCAGGGGGGAAACCAGCCGACUGGGCAUCUACUGACGCUGAGGUGCGAGAGCGUGGGGAGCGAACCGG